RNAcentral lists this ribosomal RNA (253 nucleotides) under uncultured bacterium. RNAcentral describes it as "partial 16S ribosomal RNA". It matches the Rfam family "Bacterial small subunit ribosomal RNA", at positions 524 to 776 of the family's 1533-position model. The record is from RNAcentral.
UACGAGGGGGGCGAGCGUUGUCCGGAUUUACUGGGCGUAAAGCGCGCGCAGGCGGUCGUUCAAGUCGAGUGUGAAAGCCCCCGGCUCAACUGGGGAGGGUCACUCGAUACUGAUCGACUUGAAGGCAGAAGAGGGAAGCGGAAUUCCCGGUGUAGUGGUGAAAUGCGUAGAUAUCGGGAGGAACACCAGUGGCGAAGGCGGCUUUCUGGUCUGUUCUUGACGCUGAGGCGCGAAAGCUAGGGUAGCAAACGGG